CUACGUGCCAGCAGCCGCGGUAAUACGUAGGGUGCGAGCGUUAAUCGGAAUUACUGGGCGUAAAGCGAGCGCAGACGGUUACUUAAGCAGGAUGUGAAAUCCCCGGGCUCAACCUGGGAACUGCGUUCUGAACUGGGUGACUAGAGUGUGUCAGAGGGAGGUAGAAUUCCACGUGUAGCAGUGAAAUGCGUAGAGAUGUGGAGGAAUACCGAUGGCGAAGGCAGCCUCCUGGGAUAACACUGACGUUCAUGCUCGAAAGCGUGGGUAGCAAACAGGAUUAGAUACCCUGGUAGUCCACGCUGUAAACGAUGUCGAUUUGGGGGUUGAACUUUAAGUUUGGCGCCCGUAGCUAACGUGAUAAAUCGACCGCCUGGGGAGUACGGCCGCAAGGUUAAAACUCAAAUGAAUUGACGGGGGCCCGCACAAGCGGUGGAGCACGUGGUUUAAUUCGAUGAUACGCGAGGAACCUUACCAAGGUUUAA
Molecule: ribosomal RNA, 482 nt
Filed under: uncultured bacterium
Lineage: Bacteria
Description: bacterial SSU rRNA
Rfam family: Bacterial small subunit ribosomal RNA
Source: RNAcentral